ACAGAGGGUGCUAGCGUUGUUCGGAAUUACUGGGCGUAAAGGGCGCGUAGGCGGCCCGUUUAGUCGGGUGUGAAAUCCCGGGGCUCAACCCCGGAACUGCACUCGAUACUGGCGGGCUUGAGUUCCGGAGAGGAUGGUGGAAUUCCCAGUGUAGAGGUGAAAUUCGUAGAUAUUGGGAAGAACACCGGUGGCGAAGGCGGCCAUCUGGACGGACGCUGACGCUGAGGCGCGAAAGCGUGGGGAGCAAACAGGA
RNAcentral lists this ribosomal RNA (253 nucleotides) under uncultured prokaryote. RNAcentral describes it as "partial 16S ribosomal RNA". It matches the Rfam family "Bacterial small subunit ribosomal RNA", at positions 525 to 777 of the family's 1533-position model. The record is from RNAcentral.